ACCAUACAUAGGAAUGUCAUCAAGCAGUUCACUGACCGCGCAACUCAUAACUAAACUCAAACUCACAAACACCGAUGAAGACAGGAGCCAGCCCAGAGGGUAAUAUUUGACACCUACGAAAUCUAUACAAUGCUUGCUGCUGCGCCAACACGAUCUCUUUGGAAUCCGACCGGCUUGGCACUGCUUUUGAUCCUGAACAAACAAGUAAUGUAAUCCAUUUCUGGCUUUUCGCCCCGAGAAACUUUCCCAGCACUGUUAAGAUCUGAUUGCUUGUUAUGAUGCUUAUCCAUCGAUCUUAUUGCUUGCUUGUUAUGAUGCUUAUCUUAUCGAUCUUAUUGCUUGCUUGUUAUGAUGCUUAUCUAUUUGCUUGUUAUGAUGCUUAUCUAUCUGAGGAAUGCCCCUUAACCUACACCUAGAAAUGAAACGUGGAUUUAAGAUCCUGCUCCUACUGCGGAUCCAUAUCCAGAUUCUAGAAGAGCCCCCCCCCACUCUUGAAACUUUCCUUAUAGGGGAUCCCCUUUGAUUAUUAAUCUGACUGUCUUGGCUACCCCUUUGUAUUGAUUGCCAAGGUGCUGAAAGCCUUUCUUAUUUCUCUUGUUUUGAGAGAACUGGCAAAAUCUAGGCAAAGCCCUUUGGUUCGGUAGGGCCGGUACUAAACCUACGGAUUCCGGGCUAGGAAAUUCUUUGAUUAUCUCGAUUGGCUCGACCAUAGCAGCCGAUCGGGACUGACCUCUCGACCCUUGCUUGGAUGUAGUGCGGGGCCCGUAUUUGUAUAGGUAACCAUAGUUCGCUUAUCCGCAUGGAUUGCUUUUUCAUAGAAGUAUGGAAAGGCUUGGAAUGGAGCUAACAAAUGUGCAAUGAAUGGUUGACUUAACCACAGGAAAGUAGGCGCAAACCAAAUGAGAGAUAUCCAUUAUGUCCAUAUUUGAUCGUAUGGUCCUAGAUAAAAGGACUAGCUUAGCGCAGUUGCUGGUUUCAUUUCAUUUUCUGAUUCUGGAGCACCUGGAGUAAUUGUUCGAUCUCUCUCUCUUUUGCUAGGUUUAUCCGAAAGAGAUCUGCUUUCUAGUCGCCUAAGGUAGACUCUACCCCUAUCUUUGCUAAAGUGAUGCUAGGCUAUACGCGUCCUCUGCUAUUCAUGAAAUCAAUAUAUGGUGAAAUCAAUAUAUGGGUGGAGCUUUUUCUUAGUCUAUGUCGGAACCCAUUUCUAUCAUAUGCGCAAGAUGGAUUCAAUUCCGUAUUUGUUGACACAGGUUUUCAUCGAGAUGGAGAGAGACCUGACCUCUCUGUAAAGGUAAGUCUGCUUUAUCCUUAGGUUCAGUGACCUGCCUUUCUUCUUUUAAUUAUCCCUGACUUUAUGGUUUUUCGGGUACCGCGGUCUCCUUAGUGCAUAUCCUUUUGUGAAUAGUCCUAAAGUGUUAUGGAACUUAUUAUUAGGGCUUUCUUAGAGCCAUCAAAGAGAAAGGUAGUAGUCCGAAGACCCCUUUAUGAAGAAGCUGGAAUCAGAUUCCGAUGAAGAGCAAGAUUUGACAGAGAUUCCCCCCUUUCUGUGAAUGAAUCAUUCCCACGCCCUUCCCCACUUUCCUCAAUCGAUAGGUCAAAGACAGAGUCCCAGUUAGAUCAAGAAUCUUGGAGCAAUUCGGGGGUACUUUACUUAGGUCUUAUAAUGAUCUUGAUGUAGAUGGUAGAGGGCUGCACCCAUAAUGAGAUAGAAUACUUUUUCUUUGUGAAAUGUAGAAGAAGAAACCUAAGGAGACGAAAGCAAAAGGAACUAAGAAGAAACCUAAGGAGACGAAAGCAAAAGGAACUAAUUAAUACACGCCCGUAAAUUGAUCUUCGUCCUCUUACUUAUUGGGCUUUAAUACAAAAUAGACGUACCUCUGCAUGACAUGCCUUCGUCAAUUUCAAUUAAACACUUUUCAUGUCAUAGAGUUUUGGAUUAGUUUCUUCUGCUCGGUAUCAGAAUCCAAAGACAGGAAUGACUCCUCUUGGCAUUCCCCACAUUGCAUCGGCGCGAUCCUCUCCAACAGCGUAAGAGCGCCCCGGGACCCGUGUAACAAAGAUCUAUUUCUUUCUUUUCUCGAUUCGUAGCAUCUGAGAUGGGAAGUAGAAAGAGAGUGGAUCGCGGGGUGAGAGUAAGGAAUGCUUACCGAUUCGUAGAUUAGAAGCAUAGUCAUAGAGUGGCGAGAUGCUCUCCCUUAUUGAAAUCAGAGGAUAUUGAUUUAUAGACUGGUUCUUAUCCAAAAUAGAUAAUACCGUACCGUAGGAACUAGGCUUGUAUUCAUUGGCAUCGCGCUACGCCCCUUAAGGUGGCUUGAUGUUCACUGUCCUCACUUCCCUAUCCCGGGGGCAGUGCUUUGAUAUGCGUCUUCAUUAACCUACCUUCGGAGAACAAGCUAGACCCCCAAUUGUCAAUGAGACUACUCUAUAGGAUGGCAAUUAUGAAAGAGAUGCGCGGAUAAGAAAUUAGCGCCUCAUCCUCAUUCCACGUGCAGGUUAUUCUUUAUUCCAAUAUCUCGGUAAGAAGCCCGGUUGUUAGGAAGGUGAUUCUUUAUUCCAAUAUCUCGGUAAGAAGCCCAAGCAAGGCCUAAUCCCUCUUGUCCUCUUCCUGGGAGAACUUGAAUCAGGAAAGCUGGCGAAACGAAAACUACUGCUGGUGCUACGGGCUGGUAUAUUCGUUUGUAAGUUCGUAUCGGGUCUUGUCUCGAUCCGUUUAUUCCCUGGCUAUUUUGUAGGCACACAUAUCUGGUAUCCAUAUAGAGAGGGCCAUACAUAGGGCUCAUGCCCAUGUGCAAUGCCGCAAGAGUGAAGAGACGGCCGUAGCUCUACUGGUUAUUAUGGAGUUGGAAGGUUACAUGUUCCCACGAACGGAAAAAGGGCCCUGAUACUAACUGGUAUAGGCCGGUCUUUCAUAUGUUUAUAACAGCCAUCCAGACUAAAGCAUUCCCACUACGGUCGAAGAGAUGAUUCAGCAGGCAAACCAACCAGAGGACAAGAUCAAUAGUAGAAUAAGGUCCAUGCCCAGCUUCCUUCUUGUUUGCCCAGAAUCAGAGGAAUUUAUAGACGGAGCUACUGUUAAGAAGCAUUCACUCUUCAUUCGCCUAGGGGUGGACGAAGACCUUUCACUACUAUAAGUAAGAUGCCUCCCACUCGCACUCCCUAUUAUUGGAUGGAACUGAGACUGUCACUAGUUUACUAAAAGGAGUACCUUCCCCUGACCUUAGGCUAUCCUAAGACCGAUCUCUUAUAUAAGUCAUUCCAUCCCUAAGAUCACAGUGUCGGAAUCAAAGAUACUUUAUUCAAAUUCAAGGACACAUCUGGAGGGGAAAGACAGAAAGAAGGAAAGAGCCUCGCACUACUUCUCAGAGAUAGCGUUAACGGAUCUAUUUCAUUUCAUAGUGCUCCGCUUCGUUCGCAUGAAGAAAGCAAGGCAAGGUGCGUUGCAAAAAUGCCAUUAGGGAAAGACCGUAGAGUUCCACUUCCAAUGCAGAAUAGACCACUCCACUUUGGCCUCUUUUUACCUAGGAACAACUUAACAACAUGGACUAGCCUGCCAGAAGCCAUAAGCAAAUAGAAAGACAGGAAGAUACUCUCUAUUCUUAGAUAAGUUUCUUGGAUUGGCUUAGGAUCUGUGCUUCGUUCCCAUCUUCUAGAUAACAUAUGGGCAAGACUAAGUGCGUCAGUGGCUAAAGGGAGAGUUUCCAGUUUCAGAAUGGAGUUUUCCCCUGUUUGACUUGACUCACCGAUCGAAAGAACAGUCUCUUAUUGUUGUGCUAAGCCUAAAGGAGUUAGAAAUGAAUGAGUUGAAUAAGCAAGGACAAGCAAAAGAAGUACCUAUUAAUUCGAAUAUGGAACUUUGUAUAGAACAACUUUGUAACUGGCAGCAAGCAGGUCUGCAAAUGGGAAUUCUGUUCUUGUUUCAUCCGUGUUUGCAACUAGAGAUGAAGCUGUUCUAAAGUAAGCAUCAAGCGCAUCCGUCCUGGAGUAUCUUGAAGUUAUAGUGUUUGUCGUAUCCCUAUCAUUGGAGUUUACCCCCGAGUUAGAGAAUUGCCUUAUUACAAUUAUCACAUUAUAGCCUACUAACUAAAGAAAUGUCCGGUGCAGAGAAGUCAAAUAGAGAUUGAUUAUUACUGGUGUGCUACAUUUGUAAGUAAUCAUUGUUUGGAGUAAAUACCCGGCCCUACCCUAUUGCUAUAGUAAUUCGCUUAUAGAGAGAGUGGAUUUGCUUGUUGAAUGGAAUCCAGAUAAGAAAGAGCUUUGUAUAGAAAGAACUCUGUAACAGGCUUUCAGCUCCUUUCCUUCGUCCGGAAGGUAAACCAAUCUGACUCGGAAAGUAACCUAACACAGCUUGCGGGACGAACUCAGUACUAUAAGAGGUGUGUUAAAGCCUCAAACAAGGAAUCUGGUGGAUCAGAAUCAUAAUAAGGAUCCGCAGGAAGAAGUUUCAAGUCGAGUUCCUGGUAAUCCUGUUGUUUAUGCUCUAGCUCUAAGUCUUGGUCUUGUGUCGAGUGUUGAUGCUGCAGUAGCUCCAAGAUAUGAAGCAGUGCCGUAUCUAGGAAAGGACCCUCAAGAUUGUGUUCAAGGCAAUAUCCAAAGAAGGGAACAAGCAAACAGGCAACUACCACCGUUGCCCUAACAUAUUAAGCGCGGUGAAGGUAAGAAGAAAUUCCAAUUGAAGCCCCAUAAGUAGAGAAUGACCUUCUUUUACUGCUUUCCGCUCCUUUCCUUGUCGAGAGAGGUGAUUGGGGUGUCUCAAUUCAGGAAUUAUAGAGCAUAACAGAACUUCAAGUAGAGGUCGAGGAAGCAAGGGGAGAAGAGAAAAGGGAAGCAGUUGACUUACUGCUUGAAUAUAGUAAGGGCAAGCUACGUAGUUAUUAGUAUACAAAGGCAAAGACAGUAAUGAACCACCUGGUAUUGAACUAACCAAGCAGAGCCCCAUUAACCAUAUAGUAAUAGUGAACACCGCCAAGCGUAUACUAAUGUUGCUAGGCAGGGCCGUUAGUGUUCAGCAUAGCUUUAGCCUACCUCUCCUGGAAGUUAUCAUUUCAUUGAGGAUUACCUGCUUGCUGGUUCAUCUGGGCAUUCUUCUCUCUAAGAUUCAACGAUCACUCUACUUUCAACAUUCCUUCUAGCUUCGUCACCAACACAUCUCUUAUUUAUUACUAUUAUAUAUGGAUACCCUGGCCCCAGUAUACUCUUAUUCUUCGCGCUUAGUAGCUUUGUCAUUAGUAUUAGUUUGUUGGUUCUGUUGCGCUUACAGAGUUUACAGCCACUGCGGAUUCUCUUGGUUUAAUGCUCCGUUACUUCAUUCCUGCAAUUUCAUCUAUCUCUGACUCUUACUGAUUACCAGCUUCUAGAGGAUCUCGCAACAAAUCAUUUCAUCAUCUAUCUCCAAUUACAUUUCAUCAUCUAUCUCCAAUUACAAUAGAUUCUCUACAAGGGCUGGCUCUAUUCCCUUAUCUUUUGAAAACCUAUACUUUUCAUUGCAUUUCCGGAUUCUCUCGUAGACAACAAAAGAAAGAAACUAUCUCGUAGACAAUGACACAAGAACUCAAUCAAGAACUCGCUAACGGAGCUCAAUUCGAUGAUUUCUGCCUGCUCGACUCGAGGGAAAGUAUGAAGUGGAGUACCAACAAUCAAGGGCUUUCUAACGUUAUAGCACUAUGGCACCAGUAUCAAGUAUAAUGCUACGUCGCAAAGGACCUACUACUGUUCUCGAAAGUAUUAUAUCUGGCAAGCUGGGCCCGGGCAACUCACUAACAGCGCUAACGGAGCUAUGUUCGCCUUUCUUUCCUGGAGCCUAGCCCUCUCCCCUCGCUUUGAUUUUCUAUAGCCGCUCCCUUGUGCCUUUCUUUCCUUGAGCCAACAAACCCACCCCUCUUUGUGUCUAUAUUAGUCUUAGGGUAGCUCUCUUCUAUUCCUUAAAGAGCAAGCUUCGGCGUUUUCAAGCAAUGCCUCUAUUCGUUCUUUAUACUCGUAGCAACAACAACCCGUCCUUUUUCAACAAGAACUACGGCUUUGGAACACACGUCAGCUGAAAUGACUUGUUCUAACGUUAUUGUAAUUGGGGCUUGUUACUUAUGGAACUCCACGAGACUACUCGGGGUCAAGCACGCAAAGAUAAAGCCAAGACAAAGGAAUUGCUGCUGAAGAAGGAAAGAAAGAAUAGGGGGAAUUGCUGCUGAAGAAGGAAAGAAAGAAUGGAGGAACAAGCUUAAGAAAGAAGGGCCGCUUAUUGGAGUUGGAUUUCUGAGUAAGCUCUUUCUCUUAUAUGAGAGUUAUACAAGAUAUCUUCAUUAAUUCAAGGUAGCUGAAGGCCAAACUCCGCCUACUUAGUUUUUCAUGCUGGAGAAGUAGAAAGUCAAGUAUGGAGCGGGCCAGGCUAUAAGUCAAAUCAAAGGUGUCUCUCGUAGAGCAAUUCUCUAUUUUGUCAGUAAAUAGUUGUUAGUGAAAUGCAAGUAAAUAAGCUUUUAGGCAAUAAAAGAAAGAAUACUAUUGAGUAUAAUGGAGUCCUUUUGUUAAGGGUUCGGCUGCUGCCAAUAAAUAUUCCAUUAUGAAAACUGGGCAGUAAGAUGACAGAAGAGAUUCUAUACGAAGCAACUUGGACCACAACUCUUGAAACACUUUAUGAAGCGCUAAGCAUAUUCCUGAAGUAGAGAACAAGCAACGGAAAGCAAGCACCCAAUUCUUGACCGCUACACAUGAGUCUAUAAUACCGCUACACACAUCAGUAUAUAAUCCGGCUGAGUAGGAAAGGCAGGAAGUGGCCAACCAAUCCAUUUCAGUGCUGUGCUGUCAAAGGCCGCUUACAUGCCACGGCAACGUUGUGCUAAAGGAGUUUUACAAGGGUAGGAAAGACAGUCUCUCUCGUAAGGUUCGUUUUUUCAACCUCUUGUUAAUGCUGGAGAAGUAGAAAGUGUUAAUGCUGGAGAAGUAGAAAGUCAAGUAUAGAAAAGAAAGCCUGCCUUGCCUCAAACUACAUUCCAUAAUGGCGCGAAACAGCGAAAACAAACAAGUGGAACAACCCGGCAACCCUGACUAUAUAUUGGAUUAGGAAACAAUGCCAUGUUAGGUUAAUAUCUCUUGUAUCAUGUGCUACUUAUUUAGAAACUUAUGAAUGGAACAAUAAGCAAGGCAAAGAAUUUUGUACUAUUGUGCUGUUCCCUUGUGCGCUAGUUUCGGAGUUAGGUGGAUGACUUGUUAGGUUACUUGAUUAUACCCUGACUGGAGACUAAUGAUUCUGGAUACGAUGACACUCGAACAGAACUUGAAUGCUUGAACCACUACAAGGUGCUUCAGAAGAUAGGACAAGAAGUUGAGCGUAUGAAUAAGUUCCUCCGGUGUUAGCGACUUGGAUCAUUACAAGGUGUUGUCUUUCCCUCACAUCAACAUAUAGGGUAUGCCCCCUUAUCUCCUUUAUUAUUGACUGUAGAAUCCGUAGCGGGAAGGAAAUCCGUGUAGUAUCUGAAUUGUACCCAUGGGUCAGGGGGGUAACUAAUGUUGUCGUAUCUGACUCAAACUAUUGCUAUGGCUUUAGGCUCAUUAAUCUAAACGUAUCUGACUCAAACUAUUGCUAUGGCUUUAGGCUCAUUAAUUGGAAUAAGGGGGUAAAGGGGUCGGGGAAGUCAAUCUCUCUCUCUUGCCUUAGGAUAGUAAGCUAGGGUACUGCUCCCUCGAAAACUCCGGGUUGUAAAUGGAACUCGCGUUAGGAGUUCGCUGCGAUGUUGCUUAUUUGCUUGUUCAGUGGGUUUACUGAAUUCUAGAACACAUGAUGCGCACUUAUGACUUGAAACUUGAGGGAUACUUUACUUGAGACUGCUUGAGCAACCAUUAACAAGCCAGUGUGUUCCGUGUCAAGUAAGAAAAGAAUCAUAAAGAAGACUCACUCACUAAAGCACCACGCCUCGCUCACUUACGCUCUUGCUUGUUCCAGCAAUGGAAUAUAGUGGGCAUCUUAUAUAAUGGGGAAACCGAACUCCUGACUUGAAAGAGGAAGAAGUCAUAUCGGCACCCCUAACGUUAACACUAAAAUCACUCGCUACCGGAGUUUCACCUUUUCUCACAACACUCAAAAACUCACGGAUUUUCUAUUCCUACUCGAUCGGGCCACUUACUUAUUACUUGUUCUCAUUACUGUGAGAAGCUAGAGGAAACCGAACCCUAUACACUUUAAGGAAGGACAUAGGCAUAGCACUAUAAGAUAAGGACAGAGGUACCGUUAAGGACAUAGGCAUAGCACUAUAAGAUAAGGACAGAGAGGCACCGUUACUCUAAACAAAUUGAACAAAAAACGACUCAUGAACAAGCAAGGUUAGCGAGUGAGACCUAUAGUAUAGAAAAAUCCGGGUAAUCUUACAAACACAUUCUAUACAAUUUAGCAUUAGGAGAGUUUGCAUUGUUUAAGCCAAGUGAAAGAAAGCGCUCGGGUUUGAUUGAUCCAGUUAGGUUACAAAUCCUUCUAUUAUAUGUGAGCAGUGAUUUCACCUUCUUUAUAUGCUAAAUCAUAUCCAUAAGCUGCGAUUUCACCUUCCAUAUGUUUCACAAAAGCAAGAGAUUUCUCAUCUUGUCGACGCUGAGCGGAUUCGAAAGUGUUCCCUGGAAAGCGGAAAGUCAGCGUUAACCAGCUCCAGGCCUGCUCUACAGAAUCAGAAUGUAUUUCCUACUGCAAGAGAUCGGGCUCACCCUUGCGCUGCGCUACCUAGCUAACAAUCACAAAGGUUACAGCUAUCGGGUGGACUUAACGACUCUCACUACUCUCAAGUACAGUCUCAGGGCUAUCUUAUUAGUCAAUAUGCAUUGUAAGGACUGUUAGGUGGGGGCGGAGAAUUUGCUACAACUUGUCUAGUAGUUGUGGGAUGAAACAAGAACAGAAAGAGACGAAACUAAAGCUAACUCAACUACACGGCUAUUGCCUAAAGCUAACUCAACUACACGGCUCAUUCAUUACAGUCAGGUAUCAAGAUAGAGUUGGAAAUCCUUGCUUGACUUCCGUGCCUCUCGUAUCAAGUCUAGUAAUGUAGUCCAUAUUGCCCGUAAUGUAGCCCAUAUUGCCCACUACACUUUAAGUACAGAAUCUAGUAAAUGACGGCUACUUAAUCUAAUGGAGGGUUCAGCUCAAGAAAACGGUAUAUUUGGGGUAAUUGGUCAGGGAAAGAAGAACCUAUGAUUAAUAGAGGGAAAGAAGAACCUAUGAUUAAUAGUGGGUGCCCACUUUCUUUAUGAAAUGUUGGAAAGAGGUAUAGUAUAGAAAAGAAAGGGGGAAAGGAAAGACCUCAUUAGUAUGAGAUAGAUUAAGGUAACAAACGACUGGAGCAUAAAGGAGUGCGCCAUAUGAGAUAAGAAUCGAAAUCGUAGUGCGCCUAUAAUAGAAGAAAGUCACAACACUCUCUAAUAUUGCUUGACCCCGGGCCUAUCAGGCAUGUUCACUCAAUCCCCUUCAAGUGCGCACUUAACAAAAAGGAGUCUGCUGUCAAAGCUUUCGUUUCUUUUGGUCGACCCUGUAGAACCGGCUUCCGUUCCUUGAUUCAAACCUGCUUCCUCAAUCUUCGUGAGUUUUUGUCUUAUAUCAAUAGAUCGUCGUGGCAUGCAAACUCCCUACGCUACCUCCUGUGGCAUGAAGUAAUCCAGACAUAUCUCGUUGAUCAAGUGUUUUUCGUGGGCUAUGGGAACCGAACCCAAUUCUUCCACCCCACAAGAAAUCAAAAACCGACUUAUCAAAUAAGAGCCGGUACUGAGCUGAGUCAAUAAGUAACCACUGAUCCGCUGUAAGUACUAUUUCAAGUCUAACGUUGGCAUUUGAUUCUCCAAAGGAAAACUCACUUGCUUGCUUUUUGAUACGCUUGCUGGAGAAGGUCGGUUAAGUACACGAAUCCAGGAUAACCGAACUCUAACUCGCGAUCGAGAUCAUAUACUCUAUUUAUCUUUCUGGAUUACCUAUUCAUUCUUCGCGGCAUAAGCCAUUUUAUAUAAUACCACCGAGCUUGACUUCGAACUUACCUAGCGGCAUAAGCUAUUUUAUAUAAUACCACCGAGCUUGACUUCGAACUUACCUAAUUAAUACAUUUACAGAGAGGCGAGUUGUCAUGGUAUUCCACCAUAUAGACUGGGCGGGAGUUAGCAAUGAGUUUCUUAACUACCCCCGAAAAGAAAGAUGAAUUUCUUGAGUUCUUGGCAAAACAAGUUGGUCGUAAAACCAAACGUGGCCAAUCUAAGCCAAAGACUAAGGCUUAACUAAGUUGUGAAAUUAGGGUUAUAGGGCAAAAGCAAAGCAACAUCAUUUUGUUAGCAUAAAAGUGAUCCCGAGAUAGGGUUAAUACCAGUAGGGCUAUAGAUGGAAUUUCUCUUUGCUUAUUCUGUUCUGAAUGAAUCUAUUUGAUUUAGGCAUUACUCUUCCUUGCUAAUGCUAGUCUUAAGGGUUGAAGUGCUCCGGAGUCUGCCCAUGAGUUUCGGGGAAACGUUUAUAGAGCCAGUUCCACUUUCAUUUCAUCGAGUGUGAGCAAGCCAGGUCUUGCGGAGCCUCGCCUACAAUGUUAGAAAGAUCAGGCAGUUCCAAAAGCGACUCAUCAGAAAGUCAGGGAGAAAUAAUGUCCCUCCACUGUACAUAGACUGGCACCCUGUUUACCCUUGCGAAAACUGUUGUUUCUAUAUAACAACUAUGGAUUUGGAUAACUUCCCCCAAUAAGCAUUUUUCCUUCCCGCCUGCCAAAUGCUACAAAAUGGGAAUCAUGCUUUCUAACCAAUCAUGCUUUAUAACAAACACCCUGGGAGAAAAAUGAACCCUGCAUGGGUAGACCAAGUUAUUGUUCCGUAGACUCUAAAGAAAAUCGAAUAGCGGAGUUGUCCUAAUUCCCCUACAUUUAGCAGAGCCGUCCUAAUUCCCCUACAUUUAGCACAUUUAUAGGACAUUGUGUUUUUCUAACAAGAUAACAAGAUCCAGCCUGAAGUGAAGCAGUAACGCCAUCGUUAGUAAGCCCUACCAGUUACAGUUACCACCACGAUAGACAGAUGCAAUUGAAAGAACGUUGUCUUCCAAGGUUCUAUGCCAAGUAUUUAGUAUUUACGUCAUCAACAAGCUUUGUACUACAUGGGGAAUUAGUUGAAUGAGGAAAUAGCGAAUGAGAUGGAUGAUAAAGACUUCUCUUCAUAUAACUGAGAAGAAGAGGCAUGAUCCGUCAAAGAAAUUAGUAGUGAAUAGUCCAGCAAGCUACUACUCAUCUCAUGUUGCGCGGCAG
This 11228-nucleotide long non-coding RNA is filed under the name Musa acuminata (dwarf banana). RNAcentral's name for it is "long non-coding RNA (MACU_LNC007655)". Lineage: Eukaryota; Viridiplantae; Streptophyta; Magnoliopsida; Zingiberales; Musaceae. The record is from RNAcentral.